CGACCGGCGCACGGGUGAGUAACACGUAUCCAACCUGCCUCAUACUCGGGGAUAGCCUUUCGAAAGAAAGAUUAAUACCCGAUGGCAUAGUUCUUCCGCAUGGUAGAACUAUUAAAGAAUUUCGGUCAUCGAUGGAGAUGCGUUCCAUUAGCUUGUUGGCGGGGUAACGGCCCACCAAGGCAUCGAUGGAUAGGGGUUCUGAGAGGAAGGUCCCCCACAUUGGAACUGAGACACGGUCCAAACUCCUACGGGAGGCAGCAG
RNAcentral lists this ribosomal RNA (261 nucleotides) under uncultured bacterium. Its description in RNAcentral is "partial 16S ribosomal RNA". It matches the Rfam family "Bacterial small subunit ribosomal RNA", at positions 92 to 354 of the family's 1533-position model. The record is from RNAcentral.